RNAcentral lists this ribosomal RNA (468 nucleotides) under uncultured bacterium. RNAcentral describes it as "partial 16S ribosomal RNA". It matches the Rfam family "Bacterial small subunit ribosomal RNA", at positions 28 to 507 of the family's 1533-position model. The record is from RNAcentral.
GACGAACGCUGGCGGCGUGCUUAACACAUGCAAGUCGAACGGAAAGGCCCUGCUUUUGUGGGGUGCUCGAGUGGCGAACGGGUGAGUAACACGUGAGUAACCUGCCCUUGACUUUGGGAUAACUUCAGGAAACUGGGGCUAAUACCGGAUAGGAGCUCCUGCUGCAUGGUGGGGGUUGGAAAGUUUCGGCGGUUGGGGAUGGACUCGCGGCUUAUCAGCUUGUUGGUGGGGUAGUGGCUUACCAAGGCUUUGACGGGUAGCCGGCCUGAGAGGGUGACCGGCCACAUUGGGACUGAGAUACGGCCCAGACUCCUACGGGAGGCAGCGGUGGGGAAUAUUGCACAAUGGGCGGAAGCCUGAUGCAGCAACGCCGCGUGCGGGAUGACGGCCUUCGGGUUGUAAACCGCUUUAGCCUGUGACGAAGCGUGAGUGACGGUAAUGGGUAAAGAAGCACCGGCUAACUACGUG